RNAcentral lists this ribosomal RNA (439 nucleotides) under uncultured bacterium. RNAcentral's name for it is "partial 16S ribosomal RNA". It matches the Rfam family "Bacterial small subunit ribosomal RNA", at positions 338 to 795 of the family's 1533-position model. The record is from RNAcentral.
CCUACGGGAGGCAGCAGUGGGGAAUAUUGCACAAUGGGCGAAAGCCUGAUGCAGCAACGCCGCGUGAGCGAUGAAGGCCUUCGGGUCGUAAAGCUCUGUCCUCAAGGACGAUAAUGACGGUACUUCAGAGGGAAACCCCGGCUAACUACGUGCCAGCAACCGGGGUAAUACGGGGGGGGCUAGCGUUAUCCGGAAUUCCUGGGCGUAAAGGGUGCGUAGGUGGUUUCUUAAGUCAGAGUUGAAAUGCUACGGCUCAACCGUAGUAAGCAUUGGAAACUGGGGAACUUGAGUGCAGGAGAGGAGAGGGGAAUUCCUAGUGUAGCGGUGAAAUGCGUAGAUAUUAGGAGGAACACCAGUGGCGAAGGCGGCUCUCUGGACUGUAACUGACACUGAGGCACGAAAGCGUGGGGAGCAAACAGGAUUAGAUACCCCUGUAGUC